RNAcentral lists this unclassified non-coding RNA (327 nucleotides) under soil metagenome. Its description in RNAcentral is "partial contains 5.8S ribosomal RNA, internal transcribed spacer 2, and large subunit ribosomal RNA". The stretch from base 1 to 120 matches the Rfam family "5.8S ribosomal RNA", at positions 35 to 154 of the family's 154-position model. The record is from RNAcentral.
GAUGAAGAACGUAGCGAAAUGCGAUAAGUAAUGUGAAUUGCAGAAUUCAGUGAAUCAUCGAAUCUUUGAACGCACAUUGCGCCCCUUGGUAUUCCGAGGGGCAUGCCUGUUCGAGCGUCAUUUUGACCACUCCCGCCUGCGGGGUCUUGGGCCUUCGCCUCUGGGCGGGCCUUAAAAUCAGUGGCGGUGCCGUCCGGCUCUAAGCGUAGUAAAUCUCCUCGCUAUAGGGUUCCGGAGGGAUGCUGGCCAACAACCCCCAACUUUUAAGGUUGACCUCGGAUCAGGUAGGGAUACCCGCUGAACUUAAGCAUAUCAAUAAGCGGAGGA